This 254-nucleotide ribosomal RNA is filed under the name uncultured bacterium. RNAcentral describes it as "partial 16S ribosomal RNA". It matches the Rfam family "Bacterial small subunit ribosomal RNA", at positions 524 to 776 of the family's 1533-position model. The record is from RNAcentral.
UACGGGGGGGGGCAAGCGUUGUUCGGAAUUACUGGGCGUAAAGGGCUUGUAGGUGGCCAACUAAGUCAGACGUGAAAUCCCUCAGCUUAACUGGGGAACUGCGUCUGAUACUGGAUGGCUUGAGUUUGGGAGAGGGACGCGGAAUUCCAGGUGUAGCGGUGAAAUGCGUAGAUAUCUGGAGGAACACCGGUGGCGAAGGCGGCGUCCUGGACCAACACUGACACUGAAAAGCGAAAGCCAGGGGAGCAAACGGG